RNAcentral lists this ribosomal RNA (392 nucleotides) under Clostridioides difficile. Its description in RNAcentral is "bacterial SSU rRNA". It matches the Rfam family "Bacterial small subunit ribosomal RNA", at positions 1136 to 1527 of the family's 1533-position model. Lineage: Bacteria; Bacillati; Bacillota; Clostridia; Peptostreptococcales; Peptostreptococcaceae. The record is from RNAcentral.
CACUCUAGAGAGACUGCCAGGGAUAACCUGGAGGAAGGUGGGGAUGACGUCAAAUCAUCAUGCCCCUUAUGCUUAGGGCUACACACGUGCUACAAUGGGUAGUACAGAGGGUUGCCAAGCCGUAAGGUGGAGCUAAUCCCUUAAAGCUACUCUCAGUUCGGAUUGUAGGCUGAAACUCGCCUACAUGAAGCUGGAGUUACUAGUAAUCGCAGAUCAGAAUGCUGCGGUGAAUGCGUUCCCGGGUCUUGUACACACCGCCCGUCAAACCACGGGAGUUGGAGACGCCCGAAGCCGAUUAUCUAACCUUUUGGAAGAAGUCGUCGAAGGUGGAAUCAAUAACUGGGGUGAAGUCGUAACAAGGUAGCCGUAUCGGAAGGUGCGGCUGGAUCACC